This 590-nucleotide ribosomal RNA is filed under the name Debaryomyces hansenii. RNAcentral's name for it is "LSU rRNA". It matches the Rfam family "Eukaryotic large subunit ribosomal RNA", at positions 65 to 670 of the family's 3401-position model. Lineage: Eukaryota; Fungi; Ascomycota; Pichiomycetes; Serinales; Debaryomycetaceae. The record is from RNAcentral.
CCAGAGGGNAUUGCGUUACAUACGAGCGAGUGAGCGGCAAAAGCUCAAAUUUGAAAUCUGGCACCUUCGGUGUCCGAGUUGUAAUUUGAAGAAGGUAACUUUGGAGUUGGCUCUUGUCUAUGUUCCUUGGAACAGGACGUCACAGAGGGUGAGAAUCCCGUGCGAUGAGAUGCCCAAUUCUAUGUAAAGUGCUUUCGAAGAGUCGAGUUGUUUGGGAAUGCAGCUCUAAGUGGGUGGUAAAUUCCAUCUAAAGCUAAAUAUUGGCGAGAGACCGAUAGCGAACAAGUACAGUGAUGGAAAGAUGAAAAGAACUUUGAAAAGAGAGUGAAAAAGUACGUGAAAUUGUUGAAAGGGAAGGGCUUGAGAUCAGACUUGGUAUUUUGCGAUCCUUUCCUUCUUGGUUGGGUUCCUCGCAGCUUACUGGGCCAGCAUCGGUUUGGAUGGUAGGAUAAUGACUAAGGAAUGUGGCUCUACUUCGGUGGAGUGUUAUAGCCUUGGUUGAUACUGCCUGUCUAGACCGAGGACUGCGUCUUUUGACUAGGAUGUUGGCAUAAUGAUCUUAAGCCACCCGUCUUGAAACACAGACCAAA